Molecule: ribosomal RNA, 253 nt
Filed under: uncultured archaeon
Lineage: Archaea
Description: partial 16S ribosomal RNA
Rfam family: Archaeal small subunit ribosomal RNA
Source: RNAcentral
AGGGUGUAAACGCUGCGGGCUUGGUGUUGGGGGUCCUUUGAGGGCGCCCAGUGCCGGAGAGAAGUUGUUAAGCCUGCUGCUUGGGGAGUACGUCCGCAAGGAUGAAACUUAAAGGAAUUGGCGGGGGAGCACCGCAACGGGAGGAGCGUGCGGUUCAAUUGGAUUCAACGCCGGACAACUCACCAGGAGCGACGGUUACAUGAAGGCCAGGCUGAUGACCUUGCCUGAUUUUCCGAGAGGUGGUGCAUGGCGU